AGAGUUUGAUCAUGGCUCAGGAUGAACGCUAGCGGCAGGCUUAAUACAUGCAAGUCGAACGGUAAGGUCUCUUCGGAGAUACACGAGUGGCGCACGGGUGCGUAACGCGUAUGCAACCUACCUUUAACUGGGAAAUAGCCCCGAGAAAUCGGGAUUAAUGUCCCAUACCAUUCUUUGAAUGCAUAUUCGAAGAAUGAAAGCUCCGGCGGUUAUUGAUGGGCAUGCGUGACAUUAGCUAGUUGGUGAGGUAACGGCUCACCAAGGCUACGAUGUCUAGGGGUCCUGAGAGGGUUAACCCCCACACUGGUACUGAGACACGGACCAGACUCCUACGGGAGGCAGCAGUAAGGAAUAUUGGGCAAUGGACGCAAGUCUGACCCAGCCAUGCCGCGUGAAGGAUGAAUGUCCUAUGGAUUGUAAACUUCUUUUAUGCAGGAAAAAUAUCCCGGUCGUGAACCGGGACUGAUGGUACUGUAUGAAUAAGCAUCGGCUAACUCCGUGCCAGCAGCCGCGGUAAUACGGAGGAUGCAAGCGUUAUCCGGAUUCAUUGGGUUUAAAGGGUGCGCAGGCGGAAUAAUAAGUCAGUGGUGAAAUCUCCCGGCUCAACCGGGAAACUGCCUUUGAUACUGUUGUUCUUGAGUACAGUCGAAGUGGGCGGAAUGUGUCAUGUAGCGGUGAAAUGCUUAGAUAUGACACAGAACACCGAUAGCGAAGGCAGCUCACUAAGCUGUAACUGACGCUCAUGCACGAAAGCGUGGGGAUCAAACAGGAUUAGAUACCCUGGUAGUCCACGCUGUAAACGAUGAUCACUCGUUGUUAGCGAUAUACUGUUAGCGACUGAGGGAAACCAUUAAGUGAUCCACCUGGGGAGUACGGCGGCAACGUUGAAACUCAAAUGAAUUGACGG
This 907-nucleotide ribosomal RNA is filed under the name uncultured bacterium. RNAcentral describes it as "bacterial SSU rRNA". It matches the Rfam family "Bacterial small subunit ribosomal RNA", at positions 8 to 916 of the family's 1533-position model. The record is from RNAcentral.